RNAcentral lists this small RNA (818 nucleotides) under Pan troglodytes (chimpanzee). RNAcentral's name for it is "processed transcript". The record is from RNAcentral. Lineage: Eukaryota; Metazoa; Chordata; Mammalia; Primates; Hominidae.
CAAAGUGUGCGGGGAGGAGGUCGAGAGCGGAGCAUGCGCACUGGCAGACCCUUGCUCUUUCGCUGGAGACUAUGCGCAGGCGCGGUGCACUGCGCGCCGGCACGAGGGUGUUUUCGACGUUGGUUGUGGGGAAACAGCAAGCGGCGUGGACGACCGUUGCUGAGCUGGUGUGGAACGUCUGUGAUCAGAUUCGUUGGGCUUUUGCCAGCUCUUAUUAGAUUGUCCUCUUGAGACCUGUUUACAGAGGAAUGGCCAGAGGCCACAGGCACUGCCUCCUGAGACCAUCCACCUGAUGGGAAGAAAGCUAGAAAAGCCCAACCCUGAGAAAAAUGCUUGGGAACACUACAGCCUCACAAUUCCGAGUCCAGCAUGUGCUUCGGAGGCCAGGUAUUCCACUCAGUCAUCCCUCCCUGGAUGCUCCCCUGUGCCAGCCUGGAGGUGACUGAUUUAUUGCUCACUGCUUUGGAAAAUCCAGUAAAAUAUGCUGAGGACAAUAUGGAACAAAAGGACACAGACAGAAUUAUUUGUUCAACUAACAUUCUUCAUAAAACUGAUCAGACACUCCGAAGGAUUGUAUCUCAGACAAUGAAGGAAGCAAAAGAUGAACAAGUGCUUCCUCACAACUUGAAGCUUCUAGCGGAAGAACUUAACAAGCUCAAAGCAGAGUUUUUGGAAGACCUAAAACACGGAAACAAAAAAUAUCUGUGCUUUCAGCAAACCAUUGACAUAUCAGAUGUCAUUUCUUUUUUUCAUUAUGAGAAAGAUAAUAUUGUACAGAAGUAUUUUUCAAAGCAGCAUUAAAAUUUCUGAACUGCCAA